This 219-nucleotide RNase P RNA is filed under the name Cryobacterium sp. Its description in RNAcentral is "partial RNase P RNA component class A". It matches the Rfam family "Bacterial RNase P class A", at positions 1 to 210 of the family's 367-position model. From Rfam's summary of the family: Ribonuclease P (RNase P) is a ubiquitous endoribonuclease, found in archaea, bacteria and eukarya as well as chloroplasts and mitochondria. Its best characterised activity is the generation of mature 5'-ends of tRNAs by cleaving the 5'-leader elements of precursor-tRNAs. Lineage: Bacteria; Bacillati; Actinomycetota; Actinomycetes; Micrococcales; Microbacteriaceae. The record is from RNAcentral.
UGGGUCGGCAAGACGGUCGCGUCAUCCGUUGCCCCCGGGCAGCGGAUGCCGAGGAACGUCCGGGCUCCGCAGAGCAGGAUGGUGGGUAACACCCACCCGGGGUAACCCGCGAGACAGUGCCACAGAAAGUAGACCGCCACUGGCGCAAGCCGGAGGUAAGGGUGAAACGGUGGUGUAAGAGACCACCAGAGGCCAGGGUGACCUGGUCGGCUCGGUAAA